GUGACCUUGGAGUAGUAGGAUUGCUAGAUGUACCCUCCAAGGUGUUGGCCUCUUUAGAGAGAAAAUGGAGAGAUAAUUCUCACCUAUUUUUCCCCCAAAAUAAACCCAUUUUUCACUUAAUGAAUAUUUAGUUAUAAAGUCAUUUAUAUAGUCACUUCUUUAAGUGACCUAAAUAACCAAACAACCCUAAUUCAUCUAAUAUGGCCAUUUAGGGGAAUUUUGGGCUUUUGGGCUUUAAUGAAUCUUUAUUCAUUAAAUUGUCAUACAACUUAAGUUAAUG
RNAcentral lists this long non-coding RNA (280 nucleotides) under Malus domestica (apple). Its description in RNAcentral is "long non-coding RNA (MDOM_LNC004386)". Lineage: Eukaryota; Viridiplantae; Streptophyta; Magnoliopsida; Rosales; Rosaceae. The record is from RNAcentral.